AGAUAAAAUUGUUGGAUUACAACAACAGAUAUUACAUGAGGAACAUCAUCCAAAUGUGAUGCAUAAUCUAAACAUUUUCUUGAUAACAAAACUCGAACCAAAAGCGUCCAUCAACAUCCCUGCAACUUAACUAAAAAUUAACCGAGGAACAUCAUCCCUACAACUAAACUAAAAUUGAAAUCAUCGAACAUCAUCAUCAUGAACAGGGACAUCAUCAUCACCACCACCAUCAGCAUACUUGCCACACACCCAUAUAAUCAUCCAUUUAUCUUUUGAAUCUACGAACAAAAAACAAAAUGAACUGUUAAUACACAAUGCAUUGACAUGAUUAAUGUAGUGAUAGAUGAAGGAUGUUAGCCACAUACAAAGGUUGAAGGCCAUGCAAUCUUUGUUUUUUUCUGCAUUACCAAGAGUAGCAGUUUUCGCAACUUCGUACCAAAUCUUAGGUUUUCGUAAGAUCCAUAUCGACAUGCACUGCCCAGAAUUCAUUUGAAAGUUCAACACCAUCAAGUUUAAAUUUAGGAUCACAACUUACAACUGUAGGAAGAGCUAUGUCUCCAUUUUGAUUUUCAGGCUCUUCAAGAGUACUUUAGUUCCUGCCUGUUAGAAAAAAUCAAAGUCAUCACGGGAUCAAAUUGAAAGAACUCGUAAAGGAAUUACAAGAGCUUCAUCAAUUGCUAUUAUAGUCCCUCCAUAUGGAAAAUGAAAGGAGAAUAGUCCUAAGUAAGGCUGCUGAAACUACACAUCAAAUAACUUUCUUAAUGUAAUAGUAAUUAGAGAACAUGUAAUACAUUUUGAAAAUCUCGCAGCUAGUCAUUUUAUGUCAUGGAUUCAGAAGAAAAAAAAGAUUGACACUAUGGGACGAUAAAACUGGAAACUCGAAACAAAAUAUUCCAAGGAAUAUUUAGAAGGGACCAUAUAUCUAUGUUUCUGUAGAAAGAGGUGUUUUGGCUCCUGUAUAUGGGAUGAACACAUAAAAGGAGGACAUUUAUUUUGUUUUGGUGAUACACAACAAAUCCAUUGAAAUGCUCUAUACAUAACACAAAACAGAUGACUGGUUUUCCUUUUGGAUAACACAAAAGAAGUGACUGGUUUUUCCUUCUCGUCUAUAUAAUUUUUACACUAUAUAAUGCGAGGCAGACAACAAUGCAUAUGUACACUAUAUAAUGCGAGUAAUAAGAAAUUGUCCUAAAAAACAAAUCUGCAGUCCAGUACGUACAUGUAUAAAAUAGAAUUGUAUGAAGCCAAUACCUACACACUUGGAGACACGGGAUGCAGCCAAAGCGCUGAUGAGAAGCACAUUCAGCCAUUAUACGUCUACGGUGGGGGCUCUCAACUUGAUUAUCCUCUUCAUCGCCUGGCCUUUCGCCAGGUAAUUUGUAAUGAUGUGCUCAGUGAGCUUCCUUUUUUUUGCUACAGACCUUUUCCUAUUAUGUGAAAUUGGAAGCAUAGCGGUUAAGAGGUUACACACUUUUAACAAGAAUCAGAAGCAUACAACAUGAGUCUUUCCUUUAGUAUAUAUUCCAUUAUAUGAGAAUGGAAAUACAUGUAUGCAAGGCCAUAUUUUGUGCUUAACAAGAUUAAUAGAGACUGAACUUAUCUGCUCACAAUGCGUGCCUAGUAACUACAUGUGUAUGUAUAACAUAUAUAUGACAACAUACAAUUUAGUAUCAUGGAUUCAGUCGACAAAUUACAAAAAUCAGAUCUUAAUUACAUAACAGCUCUUCCUAAGCAAGUUCUAGCUCCAUACAUCGGAUGCAUGAACUUCAAAAAAAUAAGCAACAAAUAUGUUCUUAAUUAUUUAGUACAUCUGUUUAACAAAAGAACGACAUUAAAAGAAAUCAAGCAGAAAAAAAUAUGAGGAAAGAGGAACUUAGCAUCAUUUUUUGAUCUCGCGUGUAUUUUCAAAUAAAUACUGCCAUGGUGCCACCUUAACCUCCUGAUGCAUAUACCUCCAGGUCUUCAACAACACUAUCCAGAAAUUCCAU
Molecule: long non-coding RNA, 1988 nt
Filed under: Triticum aestivum (bread wheat)
Lineage: Eukaryota; Viridiplantae; Streptophyta; Magnoliopsida; Poales; Poaceae
Description: long non-coding RNA (TAES_LNC023919)
Source: RNAcentral